GUUGUAAGUGAUAGGAAUUUCUCCUUCUCCUCCUUCUAUGGCGAAUAUCAAAACUCAGAAAAUCACUCCAGCGUACUUACUAAAUUCGACGACACCAUCGACCUGAUGGAUGAGAAGAGAUGACUUCUCCUUCGCCGAAGAGAAAAUUAGAAACGUCGAUGGCGUCUUCUCUGGCGCGAGUAAAAGGUAUGGAAUAUCUCUAGUAAUGGUUUCUCCUCUCCCUUCCGUUAAGCUUUGUUGGUGUUCUUUAUUGCAAUGUGCGGUUUUUGUUUAUUGUUAGAUGACAUUUGAACCAAAAAGAUCCCCAAUUUCUCCGACAAAAUAAACAAUUACAGUAGAUGGGGAUUUCUUCUCUCUCUUUAUUUUUAUUGGUGUUGUGAAUUUUGAUAUAAGUAUACACCCAAAUAUUGCUUGUGUAGUACAAGAUGUGCUUUAUAUUUGCAAAACUCCCCUUUAGAUGAUUGCAACUUAAGCGUUUACAUCAAUCAAAUAUAUUUCUAACUACAAAUUGCGUUUCUUGAGCUUUCUUAGCUAGGCAAUAGCAGUUGGGGCAACUUUUCUCUUAGAUGAUUGUUGUUAUAUUGAGGUUAACUAGCUGCACAUUUGGAUAUUGAAUCAAGAAUGAGGACCUUGAACUUUUAGUUUUUCUUUCCCUGCAAAGGGAUGCCUCUCUCUCUCUCUCUCUGUUUCUCAUAUCUUUCAUAUCGUCGCUACAAGUUAUGUUUACUUAAUUUUUUUGAUGCUAUGUUCGCUUAAAUAUAGUUCAAUAUACGAAGAUGUUCGUGCUUCAUAGUUCAACAUUCCACCUUAAUAUGCCAUCUUCUUAUUUGCUCUAAAGUCAUAAUAGUUUUAAGAAUAUUUUUUGCUUUUAUUGGCUUUUUAGUUGUACUUCUUUCAUGUUUGGUUUUGCACUGCAUAUCUGGAAUAUAGAUUUCGUCAAUCUAAGAUAAAAAGUCCACAUCUAAUAUGGAUUGUUGAUUUAGUUUGGGCAUUUCAUAGGAUUAUUGAAUCUAAUUAAAUGGAGUAGUACUUAUUUCAUGUUUGUUUAGCUGUUUACUUUGUUUUGCUUAACUUUCUCUCUCUCUUCUUUUUUUUUUUUCCUUUAUAUAACUUUAUUUUAUUAAGAGAGAAUAUGAAAACUAGAAUAAAAGAGAAGCAGGGUGAAGAAGAAAUCACUUAUAAGUUUUAGAUUUUUCUUGGUUUUGCAAAUAAGAAAUGUAUUGUUUCGAGGAAUGUGGAUCUUUUGGGCUAUUAGGCAUUCUCUAUGCUUCCCUUUGAGAGCUUUGGUCUCUUGACUUGUGAACUUUAUCUUCUCACAAAACUUGCUAUUGCUAUUUCCUUUUGAGUUUCGAGUGAUAAGUUGUUUUGGUUUUAAUGAAUCUGCAGCAAGAGAUAUAUGUAGAGAUGAGGAAAUCUAUGAAGCUCAGAUCGGCACAUGAUUAAUUUCAGAAUGAUGUGACAAUGUUAAGAACUUUGAUAUUUAUUUGUAGCUCGAGUUGCAUAUUUUCAUUGCAUA
Molecule: long non-coding RNA, 1516 nt
Filed under: Salvia miltiorrhiza (redroot sage)
Lineage: Eukaryota; Viridiplantae; Streptophyta; Magnoliopsida; Lamiales; Lamiaceae
Description: long non-coding RNA (SMIL_LNC008692)
Source: RNAcentral